UAUCCUUUCAAUUCUGUGUUUCCAUGUGAGAUAGUGAUAACUGGUGGCUGAGUUAGAGUGUAUUUGUUGUUUCAGAGAUUAGUGACAUUCAAGGAUGUGGCUGUGAACUUCACUCGGGAGGAAUGGGGGCAACUGGAUCCUUCUCAGAGGGACUUGUACAGGGAUGUGAUGUUGGAGAACUAUGGGAACCUUGUGUCCAUUGGUAAGGAUAGCUUUCCCCUGACUGAGAACCUUUCAUUUUUAUUUCCUGAAAGUCUUUUGUGUGUCUAAAGUGCUUGCCCAAGUUAAAAUAUUUAGUAAUAUUCAAGAAUACAUGGAUCCUGGGAUAACUUCUAAAUCCAUUAUGACUGAGAGUGUUUCUUCCUCCUAUUUCCAGAUGAAAUAGCUUUGCUCCACACAGCUAAAGAUUAGCAACAACUUCACUGUGCUGGGCCCUGAGGCUACACCUUACUUGCUUUCUGUUUGCCCAGGCCAGAGAUCCUUUAAUAUUCUAGGAUGGAUCCUAGUCUCUUGGCGUAGAGAAGGUCAGAUGAAAUUUCUUUCUGAACUUCCGUUAACUCUGACAAUCUCCCUAUACUUUCUGGGAAACAAAUAUAGAGAAACCUUCAGAGGUUUUUUUGAUAUUAUGCUCAUAUGUACUCUUUUCCCUUAAGAGAAAGGAUGUCAGGUUUGCAUUCUGAGAUGGCUGUCUGUCCACAACAUUUUCCCACUUCUACCCCAUGAGCAGGACUUCCAGUUUCUAAACCAGAUGUGAUCUCCCAGUUGGAAAGAGGAAAUGCACCUUGGAUGUCAGAGGAAGAAUUCUCAAGAAGCACUCGUCUAGAUUCUCUUAGUCAAGAGCCUAGGUGUGAAAUCCAGAAGUCAUCUCCAAUGAAGGGCUCUUGUACAGGAGUAUCAUCUAAGAAAAUACUCACAAAAGAUGUCCCCUGGGAUUCCAAGGUGGGAGAAGCUUGGGAAUGUGAUAUCAGGUUAGAAAGGCAGAAGGGCAACCAGGAGCAACAAGUCAGACAAAUAACAAUCACUCACAGAAAAGCCUUGAAUAAACUGAGAAUGCACAAAUAUAAUACAUUCCAGAAAAGUUUCAGGUCCAAGUCCAGCUUUGUUCCAAAACAGAGAUCCUACAGGGAAAAGCCCUCAUAAAUUUGGUAUACUUCAACAGAGAUUCAAACAGUUUUCAGACCUAACUAAACAUAAUAGGUGCUUUUCAGGGAAAAACCUUUGUAAGUCUACUAAAUACAGAAAGACCUUCAACUACCACAUAGGUUUUAUUCAACUUCAUGACAAUAAAUCAUAUGAAUGUAAAGAAUGUGGAAAAGCC
This 1318-nucleotide long non-coding RNA is filed under the name Vombatus ursinus (common wombat). Its description in RNAcentral is "lncRNA (ENSVURG00010004598.1)". The record is from RNAcentral. Lineage: Eukaryota; Metazoa; Chordata; Mammalia; Diprotodontia; Vombatidae.